Molecule: ribosomal RNA, 1428 nt
Filed under: Virgibacillus proomii
Lineage: Bacteria; Bacillati; Bacillota; Bacilli; Caryophanales; Bacillaceae
Description: bacterial SSU rRNA
Rfam family: Bacterial small subunit ribosomal RNA
Source: RNAcentral
AUGCAAGUCGAGCGCGGGAAGCAAGCAGAUCCCCUUCGGGGGUGACGCAUGUGGAACGAGCGGCGGACGGGUGAGUAACACGUGGGCAACCUGCCUGUAAGACUGGGAUAACUCCGGGAAACCGGGGCUAAUACCGGAUAAUACGUUUUCUUGCAUAAGGAGACGUUAAAAGGCGGCGCAGCUGUCACUUACAGAUGGGCCCGCGGCGCAUUAGCUAGUUGGUGGGGUAAAAGCCUACCAAGGCGACGAUGCGUAGCCGACCUGAGAGGGUGAUCGGCCACACUGGGACUGAGACACGGCCCAGACUCCUACGGGAGGCAGCAGUAGGGAAUCUUCCGCAAUGGACGAAAGUCUGACGGAGCAACGCCGCGUGAGUGAAGAAGGUUUUCGGAUCGUAAAACUCUGUUGUUAGGGAAGAACAAGUGCCGUUCAAAUAGGGCGGCACCUUGACGGUACCUAACCAGAAAGCCCCGGCUAACUACGUGCCAGCAGCCGCGGUAAUACGUAGGGGGCAAGCGUUGUCCGGAAUUAUUGGGCGUAAAGCGCGCGCAGGCGGUCUUUUAAGUCUGAUGUGAAAGCCCACGGCUUAACCGUGGAGGGCCAUUGGAAACUGGAGGACUUGAGUACAGAAGAGGAGAGUGGAAUUCCACGUGUAGCGGUGAAAUGCGUAGAGAUGUGGAGGAACACCAGUGGCGAAGGCGACUCUCUGGUCUGUAACUGACGCUGAGGUGCGAAAGCGUGGGUAGCGAACAGGAUUAGAUACCCUGGUAGUCCACGCCGUAAACGAUGAGUGCUAGGUGUUAGGGGGUUUCCGCCCCUUAGUGCUGCAGUUAACGCAUUAAGCACUCCGCCUGGGGAGUACGGCCGCAAGGCUGAAACUCAAAAGAAUUGACGGGGACCCGCACAAGCGGUGGAGCAUGUGGUUUAAUUCGAAGCAACGCGAAGAACCUUACCAGGUCUUGACAUCCUCUGACGCCCCUAGAGAUAGGGAGUUCCCUUCGGGGACAGAGUGACAGGUGGUGCAUGGUUGUCGUCAGCUCGUGUCGUGAGAUGUUGGGUUAAGUCCCGCAACGAGCGCAACCCUUGAUCUUAGUUGCCAGCAUUUAGUUGGGCACUCUAAGGUGACUGCCGGUGACAAACCGGAGGAAGGUGGGGAUGACGUCAAAUCAUCAUGCCCCUUAUGACCUGGGCUACACACGUGCUACAAUGGAUGGAACAAAGGGCAGCGAAGCCGUGAGGCCAAGCAAAUCCCACAAAACCAUUCUCAGUUCGGAUUGCAGGCUGCAACUCGCCUGCAUGAAGCCGGAAUCGCUAGUAAUCGCGGAUCAGCAUGCCGCGGUGAAUACGUUCCCGGGUCUUGUACACACCGCCCGUCACACCACGAGAGUUGGUAACACCCGAAGUCGGUGAGGUAACCGUAAGGAGCCA